GCGCAGCAGGCGCGAAACCUUCGCAAUGCGGGAAACCGCGACGAGGGACUCCCAGUGCCUACGCUCAGCGUAGGCUGUUCCCGAGCCUAGAAAGCUCGGGGAGUAAGGGCUGGGUAAGACGGGUGCCAGCCGCCGCGGUAAUACCCGCAGCCCGAGUGGUGGCCACUAUUAUUGGGCCUAAAGCGUCCGUAGCCGGCCCGGUAAAUGCCUGGGUAAAUCGUGAGGCCUAACCUCACGAAUUCCGGGUAGACUGCCGGGCUAGGGACCGGAGGAGGGAGAGGGUACUCCAGGGGUAGGGGUGAAAUCCUGUAAUCCCUGGAGGACCACCGGUGGCGAAGGCGCUCUCCUAGGACGGGUCCGACGGUGAGGGACGAAAGCCAGGGGAGCGAACCGGAUUAGAUACCCCCGUAGU
Molecule: ribosomal RNA, 412 nt
Filed under: uncultured microorganism
Description: bacterial SSU rRNA
Rfam family: Archaeal small subunit ribosomal RNA
Source: RNAcentral